RNAcentral lists this long non-coding RNA (226 nucleotides) under Brassica rapa (field mustard). RNAcentral's name for it is "long non-coding RNA (BRAP_LNC001155)". Lineage: Eukaryota; Viridiplantae; Streptophyta; Magnoliopsida; Brassicales; Brassicaceae. The record is from RNAcentral.
GAUAACACAGACCUCAAGAAUCCAAUUUCACUUCUCAGACCUACCAAAAGAAACUGCCUUCUGUUUAGAUAUGCAGGGUCAGCAUCAAGGUCUUCAUAGCAGCCGUAUCGGAGCCAAGAAGCUUUAACGGGACCGAGGCUGAGCCGCUGGUCAUCAAGAUCGGUUAAGCUAUAUAUGAAGCGCACAGCGACUGUAUUGAGUACAAUAAUGCACUUGUGAGGCAAAG